This 377-nucleotide ribosomal RNA is filed under the name uncultured bacterium. RNAcentral describes it as "bacterial SSU rRNA". It matches the Rfam family "Bacterial small subunit ribosomal RNA", at positions 30 to 408 of the family's 1533-position model. The record is from RNAcentral.
AUUGAACGCUGGCGGCAUGCCUUACACAUGCAAGUCGAACGGCAGCACGGGAGCAAUCCUGGUGGCGAGUGGCGAACGGGUGAGUAAUAUAUCGGAACGUGCCCGGUCGUGGGGGAUAACGUAGCGAAAGCUACGCUAAUACCGCAUACGAUCUACGGAUGAAAGCGGGGGAUCGCAAGACCUCGCGCGAUUGGAGCGGCCGAUAUCAGAUUAGGUAGUUGGUGAGGUAAAGGCUCACCAAGCCGACGAUCUGUAGCUGGUCUGAGAGGACGACCAGCCACACUGGGACUGAGACACGGCCCAGACUCCUACGGGAGGCAGCAGUGGGAAUUUUGGACAAUGGGCGCAAGCCUGAUCCAGCAAUGCCGCGUGCAGGA